This 256-nucleotide unclassified non-coding RNA is filed under the name Hevea brasiliensis (rubber tree). The record is from RNAcentral. Lineage: Eukaryota; Viridiplantae; Streptophyta; Magnoliopsida; Malpighiales; Euphorbiaceae.
AAAGAAAAAGACCUUAAACAAGCCAUUUCUGUCAAGAACCAAAUCCUCUCCUCUCCUUCAAAAUCUCUUCCGCUUUCCUCCAUCUCCGUCCUCAAACCCCUCCUAAACCUCCCCACCACAGCCCUUAAGUUCUUCCAAAAAUACCCAACUCUUUUUACCCAGUUCCAGCCCUCUGCGUCGCUCCCUCUCCACGUCAAGCUCACCCCUCAGGCUCUCUCAAUCCACAAAGAAGAACAAGAGAUCCAUAAUUCUCCAA